GAAUUAUUGGGUGUAAAGGGUGCGUAGGCGGGAUGUAAAGUCAGAUGUGAAAUACCGUGGCUUAACCACGGGGCUGCAUUUGAAACUUAUGUUCUUGAGUUAAGUAGAGGCAAGUGGAAUUCCCAGUGUAGCGGUGAAAUGCGUAGAUAUUGGGAGGAACACCAGUGGCGAAGGCGAUUUGCUGGGCUUAUACUGACGCUGAGGCACGAAAGUGUGGGGAGCAAACAGGAUUAGAUACCCUGGUAGUCCACACUGUAAACGAUGAUUACUAGGUGUAGGGUGGCUGAACCACUCUGUGCUGCAGUUAACACAAUAAGUAAUCCACCUGGGGAGUACGGCCGCAAGGUUGAAACUCAAAGGAAUUGACGGGGGCCCGCACAAGCAGUGGAGUAUGUGGUUUAAUUCGACGCAACGCGAAAAACCUUACCAGGUCUUGACAUCCAACUAACGAGGCAGAGAUGCGUUAGGUGCCCUUCGGGGAAAGUUGAGACAGGUGGUGCAUGGU
RNAcentral lists this ribosomal RNA (505 nucleotides) under uncultured bacterium. RNAcentral describes it as "bacterial SSU rRNA". It matches the Rfam family "Bacterial small subunit ribosomal RNA", at positions 548 to 1049 of the family's 1533-position model. The record is from RNAcentral.